This 253-nucleotide ribosomal RNA is filed under the name uncultured bacterium. RNAcentral describes it as "partial 16S ribosomal RNA". It matches the Rfam family "Bacterial small subunit ribosomal RNA", at positions 524 to 776 of the family's 1533-position model. The record is from RNAcentral.
UACGGGGGGGGCAAGCGUUGUUCGGAAUUACUGGGCGUAAAGGGCUCGUAGGUGGCCAACUAAGUCAGACGUGAAGUCCCUCGGCUUAACCGGGGAACUGCGUCUGAUACUGGAUGGCUUGAGUUUGGGAGAGGGAUGCGGAAUUCCAGGUGUAGCGGUGAAAUGCGUAGAUAUCAGGAGGAACACCAGCGGCGAAGGCAGCACUCUGGGCCGGUACUGACGCUGAGGAGCGAAAGCGUGGGGAGCAAACAGG